Molecule: long non-coding RNA, 333 nt
Organism: Leptopilina boulardi
Lineage: Eukaryota; Metazoa; Arthropoda; Insecta; Hymenoptera; Figitidae
Exons: 3
Source: RefSeq, a predicted model, not a curated record
CUUUCUUUUUCAUUUCGCGCUUACGAGAAAUUGCGGCUGCCAUAUUUCAUCCAAAAAAGGGACUAUUCAGUGAACAUUAACAGUGAGAAACUGAACAGGAAAAAACUUAUUUACCAGAUGUUGUUGGAAGUGAUGAAAUUUCAAGUACACAAGAACUUAUCCUAGAAGGCAUUAAUGCAGUGAAUAAUAUAUGAAGUGAACAACGAAGGACGAUUAGUUCCCCUUGUUGGAAGAAAAGAAGUUGACUACACAGAAGCUCAAAUAUCAAAUCCCCAAAAAAAUCUAUUUCAAUCAGAGCAAUUAUUUUCCCAUCCACAGACUCAACCACAAUGU